Vespa crabro (European hornet) is the source of this 1298-nucleotide long non-coding RNA. RefSeq lists it as uncharacterized. NCBI's taxonomy places the organism in Eukaryota, Metazoa, Arthropoda, Insecta, Hymenoptera, Vespidae. The transcript is spliced from 2 exons. The record is from RefSeq and is a predicted model, not a curated record.
AGGAAAAUGCAGACUGAAUAUAUGAUUUCAAUCGAAACAUAGUCAAGCAUUAAUGAUUUCCACUAACGUAGUAAGAAUCUACACAAGGAUCGUUGCUUGUCACGAGGUUAUCAGGAUAGAAAAGAUUUGCGAUAAUCAAUGAUGUGUAUGCGCACACGCCAAUGAUUAAAAUGCGAGUCUCUUGCGAUUAUUACGAAAAGACUCUUUCGUUAUCGUAUGUUAUUAAUCAGAACAGUGUGCCGUAUUAAUAGAAGAAAGUCGUUUGCUGACAUUAAAGAAAAUUGUUUCGAGUAAUAAUACGAAAUAGAAAAAAACGUGAUUUUAAUUUACCAGACCCGAUCAUCGUUCGCAACAAUAAAAAAUGUGUUCAUCUUUAAAUCACGACGCAUUAUAGUUUUUCUUAAUUCGAAAGGAGUGAUUAGAAUUACGUGCUUAUUUUUCGUUAACAUUUAUUUAAUGAUUAGGAUUUGAGAAAGAAUUGCGAAGGAAUAGAUCUAAUGUCGAAUAGAUGCACUGUAAUUUUGUAAAGAUGAAAAAAGAAAUGCUAUUAAAGUUUACGAAAUAUCCAGAUUAUCAUCUUGUUCUUCUUCUUUGUUUUCUUCUUUAAAGAAAAUAACGAAUAAGUAAUGGCGAGUUGAUCGGUAAGGUUAAAUCCAAUGGAGAAAUGAGUGUCGAUGAUUUGAGUCAUCAGGUCAAAGGGUUAAAAUCUUUGAGUGUCGUUCGUUCGGAGUAACGUUUCAGCUUGGCUUGUUCGCCUAGAAAUGACAAGAAAAGGCAAACCGUCGUGGAAAGAAAGAGAGAGAUAGACAGAGAGAGAGAGAGAGAGAGAGAGAGAGAGAGAGAGAGAGAGAAAGAGAGAGAGACCUCAAGAAAAGUCACCAUCCUGAUUGAUCGUUGUGAGAAAAACGAUGCUCCGCAUAACGGUAAGACUCGCGAGGCGGGCUUUACCCUUCAUGGAAGCGGUCUUGGAUGGCCCGAAUAGAAGUCGUCACUACCGCCACCGUUUGCAGGUUUAACGGUCCUAAGAAAUUUUCAGGCACUCGACCAAGAACAUAUCUUUCGCCUUAGUACAUCGGACCGUCCAUUAAUCCUUUCGCUCCUAACAAAUUGGACACGGUAUGUGCGAUCUUUGCGAUGAAUUUGUCCUAAGCCAAUGAUCAACAGAGAAAUAUUGAAUAGUCGUGGACCGAACAAAUGUUUUACCUCUACUUUCAUGUAAAUAUUACCCAUGACGAAAUUUUAUUAAGUACUAAAUUAAUUUUCCCAAUUGAUUCAAUAAAUAUACCACCAAUUUGUUA